AUGGUAGGAUAGAGGCCUACCAUGGUUUUAACGGGUAACGGGGAAUUAGGGUUCGAUUCCGGAGAGGGAGCCUGAGAAACGGCUACCACAUCCAAGGAAGGCAGCAGGCGCGCAAAUUACCCAAUCCCGACACGGGGAGGUAGUGACAAUAAAUAACAAUAUGGGGCUCUUACGAGUCUUGUAAUUGGAAUGAGUACAAUUUAAAUCUCUUAACGAGGAACAAUUGGAGGGCAAGUCUGGCGCCAGCAGCCGCGGUAAUUCCAGCUCCAAUAGCGUAUAUUAAAGUUGUUGCAGUUAAAAAGCUCGUAGUUGAAUUUCGGGGUUUAUCCGUCGGUCGGGCUUUUGGGUCUGUACUGGCGUGAUGGAUUCCUACCUUCUGAAUAACCGGCAUGUCAUUAAUUUGGUGCGCCGGGGAAGCAGGACUGUUACCUUGAAAAAAUUAGAGUGCUUAAAGCAGGCUUAUGCCUGAAUACAUUAGCAUGGAAUAAUGAAAUAGGACGGCAUGGUUCUAUUUUGUUGGUUUCUAGGAUCACCGUAAUGAUUAAUAGGGAUAGUUGGGGGCAUUAGUAUUCAAUUGUUAGAGGUGAAAUUCUUGGAUUUAUUGAAGACUAACUUCUGCGAAAGCAUUUGCCAAGGAUGUUUUCAUUAAUCAAGAACGAAAGUUAGGGGAUCGAAGACGAUCAGAUACCGUCGUAGUCUUAACCAUAAACUAUGCCGACUAGGGAUCGGACGAUGUUAAUUUUUUAAUGACUCGUUCGGCGCCUUACGGGAAACCAAAGUGUUUGGG
This 787-nucleotide ribosomal RNA is filed under the name uncultured Acaulospora. RNAcentral describes it as "SSU rRNA". It matches the Rfam family "Eukaryotic small subunit ribosomal RNA", at positions 325 to 1111 of the family's 1831-position model. The record is from RNAcentral. Lineage: Eukaryota; Fungi; Glomeromycota; Glomeromycetes; Diversisporales; Acaulosporaceae.